UCUCUGGCAGUCUUUGGACUACAGUUCCCAUCAUCCCUAGCUAACAGGACCAGUGGUCAGGGAUGAUGGGAGCUGUAGUCCAAAAACAGCUGGAGA
Podarcis lilfordi (Lilford's wall lizard) is the source of this 96-nucleotide non-coding RNA. Lineage: Eukaryota; Metazoa; Chordata; Lepidosauria; Squamata; Lacertidae. The record is from the annotation of a GenBank genome assembly.